CACGGUUGGCUCCUCUCAAAUGAAUCAGCUUGCCAGUGUUUGGUGGCGUCGCAGGUGUGAUAAUUAUCUAUGCUUGCGGUGUUCUGCCAGAUAACCUUCAGUGAUGGAGGUUCGCUGGAGCUCAUAAACGUCUCUCCUCAGUGGGGACAGCCCUUUGAACAUUUGAUCUCAAAUCAGGUAGGACUACCUGCUGAACUUAA
RNAcentral lists this unclassified non-coding RNA (200 nucleotides) under soil metagenome. Its description in RNAcentral is "partial contains internal transcribed spacer 2 and large subunit ribosomal RNA". The record is from RNAcentral.